This 397-nucleotide ribosomal RNA is filed under the name Demospongiae sp. GW5947. RNAcentral's name for it is "eukaryotic LSU rRNA". The record is from RNAcentral. Lineage: Eukaryota; Metazoa; Porifera; Demospongiae.
AGCCUACCCUGGCCGAUCCGCGGUCGCUGGAGUCGCGUGUAGCACUGACGUGGCGUUGCGGAGGUAGAGCGAGUCGCCCGUGACGUGCGUCAGGGGUGGCCAGGCUGUGUCAGCAACGUCGGCAGGCCGGGACACCGAACGCGACGAGCCCGCUCCCGGCGGUGAGAGAAGUCAGAGGUAGCACUGCACGGAGCCUCCGGUCUUGGCUCAGGGCUUCCUGAGUCGGUUGACGGAGCGUUGCGUGUACUGUGCCGCCUUUGACGGCGACUGACCAGGUGCGCCCUUAUGCCGAAUCUCGCUGCUCGCCAGGGUGGCUGGCACCCAGGGAACACCCUAGGGAGCCGGUCUCCCGCGAGUAGCCAGACGGACUUGGGCGUCUCCUGGCUCGGCCGUAGUA